Non-coding RNA from Pelobates cultripes (western spadefoot toad), 244 nucleotides. The record is from the annotation of a GenBank genome assembly. Lineage: Eukaryota; Metazoa; Chordata; Amphibia; Anura; Pelobatidae.
CUGAUUUAAGAUUUAAAAUGAAUACAGGUAGUUUCCACAAGAGCGGAUUGGCCGAUGGCGAUACGGCAGUGGGACAUAUUGGGUCUAAACACCCCUUGAAUACAGACGGCACGUUAUGCUGCAUUCACAGUGGACUCUGAAGCUUUUUGCCCCAGAAAAAGCGAGUACUCAGAUGAAACGCAAAGCGCUUUAUCAGUGAUUGAUGUUUUUCCAUAUUACACUACGUUUCUUUUUCUUUUUCCAC